RNAcentral lists this small nuclear RNA (58 nucleotides) under Chelonoidis abingdonii (Abingdon island giant tortoise). RNAcentral's name for it is "U5 spliceosomal RNA (ENSCABG00000022492.1)". It matches the Rfam family "U5 spliceosomal RNA", at positions 10 to 67 of the family's 117-position model. From Rfam's summary of the family: U5 RNA is a component of both types of known spliceosome. The precise function of this molecule is unknown, though it is known that the 5' loop is required for splice site selection and p220 binding, and that both the 3' stem-loop and the Sm site are important for Sm protein binding and cap methylation. Lineage: Eukaryota; Metazoa; Chordata; Testudines; Testudinidae. The record is from RNAcentral.
UUUCUCUUCAGUUUGUAUAAAUUUUUCGCCUUUUACUAAAGAUUUCCGUGGAGAGGAA